RNAcentral lists this ribosomal RNA (412 nucleotides) under uncultured Actinomycetes bacterium. RNAcentral describes it as "bacterial SSU rRNA". It matches the Rfam family "Bacterial small subunit ribosomal RNA", at positions 430 to 853 of the family's 1533-position model. Lineage: Bacteria; Bacillati; Actinomycetota; Actinomycetes. The record is from RNAcentral.
CCGCUUUCAGCAAGGAAGAAGCGAAAGUGACGGUACUUGCAGAAGAAGCACCGGCUAACUAUGUGCCAGCAGCCGCGGUAAUACAUAGGGUGCAAGCGUUGUCCGGAAUUAUUGGGCGUAAAGAGCUCGUAGGUGGUUCGUCACGUCGGAUGUGAAAAUCUGGGGCUUAACCCCAGACCUGCAUUCGAUACGGGCGAGCUAGAGUGUGGUAGGGGAGACUGGAAUUCCUGGUGUAGCGGUGGAAUGCGCAGAUAUCAGGAGGAACACCAAUGGCGAAGGCAGGUCUCUGGGCCAUUACUGACACUGAGGAGCGAAAGCGUGGGGAGCGAACAGGAUUAGAUACCCUGGUAGUCCACGCCGUAAACGGUGGGCACUAGUUGUGGGAACCUUCCACGGUUUCUGCGACGCAGCU